Long non-coding RNA from Catharus ustulatus (Swainson's thrush), 521 nucleotides. RefSeq lists it as uncharacterized. The record is from RefSeq and is a predicted model, not a curated record. The transcript has 4 exons. NCBI's taxonomy places the organism in Eukaryota, Metazoa, Chordata, Aves, Passeriformes, Turdidae.
AUGGAAUUCAGUCAAGUUCCAACUUUAAACACCAAGUCUGAGGAGACUUCUUAAAUGUUUCCCUCUGCCUUAGAAGACACAAAGCUCCUUUGCAAUGUUUUCUGCUGGUGACUGGAUUCCUCCAGGGGCUAAUGAGGAGAUGUAAAACCACAGUGAACCCAAUGACCAUUUCAAAUCUAGGCCUAAACCAGAAAAGGAGGGCUCACAACUCAGUGUUUCUUCGGUAUCUUGAGAAGAUUUCUGUUCUCUGCACUGCUGGAAGGGGUAGACCCCUGCUCUGAGAUUUGGUGCUAGAGCCCCAUGCUCUGUCACCAGAGCCUGAACAAAAGCAGCCCCCACUGCCCUACAGAGAGCUUUGCCCAGCUGCAAACUUCCCAGGGGCUGAAAAUGCAGCUCAGCGUUGACAGCUGUUGAUGUGGUUUCACACCAGUGCUGUUUUCCCAAGACAAUGGUUCCUUCACAGGUCAGUGUCUUACUUCAGGAGGCCCCUUCAAACUCCAGCACUAGCUACAGGUCCUGCU